This 563-nucleotide long non-coding RNA is filed under the name Trifolium pratense (red clover). RNAcentral's name for it is "long non-coding RNA (TPRA_LNC007483)". Lineage: Eukaryota; Viridiplantae; Streptophyta; Magnoliopsida; Fabales; Fabaceae. The record is from RNAcentral.
AAUGAAAGUGAGGAAGUCAAGGAUAUUGUUGAAAAUGCUACAUGUUUGUUUGACAUGACAGACUUGCACGUUGUUGAUGAUCCUGUUGGAAUCAAAUCUCGAAUACGAGAUAUGAUUCAACGGCUAAACAUCCAACAAUCAAAUGAUAUCAUGCCACUAGGUUUGUGGGGCAUGGGCGGAAUUGGUAAAACCACAAUCGCGAAAGCGAUUAAUGAUAAACAGAUGAAAGUGAAUGAAUUGAGCUUUUUAGUUGGCAUGCAUAGUACCAUUGUCACUAGCUCAAAAAUAUUCCUAAAGAUCAAGUACAACAAAAAUGAUAGGAACAAACUUGGAAUGCAUGAUUUGAUUUGUUACGAGACAUGGGAACAAACUUUUGGUGAUUUCUCUAUGUCCUCAAUUCAUUCUCCAUUCAAAAUGAAACUAUGAACAUUUCAUCCACUUCAUCCACUGUAACGCAACUUGUCUUAGUUGCUCAUAACAAGUAUCAAAUAUUGGAAUCAAUUGCAACUUGCUCAUAACAAGUAUCAAAUAUUGGAAUCAAUUGCAACUACAUUACAGACUCC